UACGUAGGGUCCGAGCGUUGUCCGGAAUUAUUGGGCGUAAAGAGCUCGUAGGCGGUUUGUCGCGUCUGCUGUGAAAUCCCGAGGCUCAACCUCGGGCCUGCAGUGGGUACGGGCAGACUGGAGUGCGGUAGGGGAGAAUGGAAUUCCUGGUGUAGCGGUGGAAUGCGCAGAUAUCAGGAGGAACACCGAUGGCGAAGGCAGUUCUCUGGGCCGUAACUGACGCUGAGGCGCGAAAGCCAGGGGAGCAAACGGG
RNAcentral lists this ribosomal RNA (253 nucleotides) under uncultured bacterium. RNAcentral describes it as "partial 16S ribosomal RNA". It matches the Rfam family "Bacterial small subunit ribosomal RNA", at positions 524 to 776 of the family's 1533-position model. The record is from RNAcentral.